GUACUGCUGAGGAGUCCCACACUAGGACGAGACGGCCGUCCAGUGU
This 46-nucleotide non-coding RNA is filed under the name Schistosoma curassoni. The record is from RNAcentral. Lineage: Eukaryota; Metazoa; Platyhelminthes; Trematoda; Strigeidida; Schistosomatidae.